Molecule: unclassified non-coding RNA, 260 nt
Organism: Vulpes vulpes (red fox)
Lineage: Eukaryota; Metazoa; Chordata; Mammalia; Carnivora; Canidae
Gene: 7SK
Rfam family: 7SK RNA
About the family: 7SK was discovered as an abundant small nuclear RNA in the mid-70s but a possible function has only recently been suggested. Two independent studies have found that 7SK RNA binds the CDK9/cyclin T complex (known as elongation factor P-TEFb).
Source: Ensembl
GGAUGCGAGGGCAAGCUGUCCUGAAAUGUCAUCUCAUAGAUCCUCAGGUUCGUUCAGGUGAUCUGGCUGGCUGGGGGGCAGCCCCAUCCCUCAUGGCUCCAGCUGGUCUCUCUCAAAGUUGUACAUAUAUUGGAAUACAAUGAUAUUUUCAGGAAGCAGAGAGCCAUUCUUUUGUUAAGAAUUUACUAGAAGCUGACUAGAAUAUUUCAUUUAACCUCAAGAAAUUACAAUAAUGCAUUUAGACCUUUAUGUUAUACCAU